This is a long non-coding RNA of Cavia porcellus (domestic guinea pig), 1365 nucleotides long. RefSeq lists it as uncharacterized. The record is from RefSeq and is a predicted model, not a curated record. Lineage: Eukaryota; Metazoa; Chordata; Mammalia; Rodentia; Caviidae. The transcript is spliced from 4 exons.
CAGAGAACAUCCUCUGCUCCGUGGCCCUCCCUGCUGGGGAAGUAGAUAGAAGGGAUGUGUGGGGGCUCAACUAGGCUCUUUUAGGAACAUUCCGGCACAUCCACGAGACCCUAAGGGAGACAGACUGCAUUCCGGGAGCCCAUCACAGGCGUACGGGGCCCUUCGGGGCUCAAUCCGUGCAUGGUAAGGUCGCUGAGGUCUCAGCUGGCUUCAGAACCCAGAUGGAAUGGUGCCUGGGUCCAGGAUUAUGGUCACCCUGCAGUGCAGUGAGUUAUACAAAGGGUAGGCCGAGCCUUAACCCAGCUUGAAGAGGACCCAGCACAAGGCUCAGCUUCCUGAGGUUCCAACGCUUUUCAGAUGGCCCUGUCUACCUUAUCGCGCUCAGCCAGUGGAUUCCUGCACGGCCAUAGCAGCCAAGCCUUGAUACUGGUAGUCACUGUGUGGACUCCACCAUGUUCUUCACCAGAUGGCACCAGGUAAUUUACAGAAGACAGAGCUUUAUUUCCCUAAGUUCUGGAGGCCAGGAAGUCCAAGACUGCGGUGCUAACAGCGCCUGUCCCGAAGGAACUGCAUCACAGUGUCAAGGAGACAUUGCAUUUGCAUGUCUCCCACACUUCUACUCACAAGAGCCCAGAGGGGUCCACUACGGAGGGAUGAUAAGGAAAAGGGGUGUAGACGCUCAAGACAAGGUUAUUCCACUGUGAAACGGAUUCUGUCCUGUGGCAGCACCGUCGGGGCCAAAGGACAGUGAGCUCUUCAGACACCAGGCGGCAAGGACCACACUGCUCACUGGGGUGACAUGAACCAGGGGGGCGCCCUCUUCAUCUCUGACAGGUGUAUUCCCGCCCUUGUCAGAGGUCACUGAAAUCCGAAGUUUUGGUCCCAUUCUCCAGAACGUCAUGGCUUCAAUGUACUUAUUUAAAUUUACAGGGAAAGAUUAAUGUUUUUACUGCACAAAACUUCCUGCCCCAAAAUCAGAACUUCACUGCUCCCACGCUGCUCCAGUGCCUGCUUGUUCCCCGUGUGUCAGAGGUGGUGACCGCUGGGAGCUGACAGAUCGGGCACACUGCACAAUACAACAGCGGCCUUGCCCUGCCCUCCCUGAGCUCUGCAUGGAGCAGGAGGCAGAUGUCACAAAACUGGCACCCAGACAGCCAGAGUUACUGCAGUGGGAGGAGGAGGGCAGACCUGGGCUUCUCCAGAGACCGUUCAGGCACUGCCACCCCUGUGCAUGACCAGUGUUUGCAAAAUGACUUUUCAAGGGAGGAAUUUUUCACCUUUGCUUUUCUUUAGUGUUCAAAUGCUCUGUCGCGUCCACAUUGUCCUUUUUAUAAAAGAAAAGGGCGGAGGAUUCAAAAUAAAAGA